AACGUAGGUCCCGAGCGUUAUCCGGAUUUACUGGGCGUAAAGCGUGUUCAGGCGGUCUAGCAAGUCGGGCAUGAAAUCUCUCGGCUCAACCGGGAGGGGUUGUCCGAUACUGCUGGGCUUGAGGGCAGCAGAGGGUGGUGGAAUUCCGGGUGUAGUGGUGAAAUGCGUAGAUAUCAGGAGGAACACCAAUGGCGAAGGCAGCACUCUGGGACGUGACUGACGCUGAGACGCGAAAGCGUGGGGAGCAAACAGG
This 253-nucleotide ribosomal RNA is filed under the name uncultured bacterium. Its description in RNAcentral is "partial 16S ribosomal RNA". It matches the Rfam family "Bacterial small subunit ribosomal RNA", at positions 524 to 776 of the family's 1533-position model. The record is from RNAcentral.